UUAUGUGAUCGUCUCUCGCAUAUCAAUAAGCGGAGGAAAAGAAACUAACAAGGAUUCCCCUAGUAACGGCGAGUGAAGCGGGAAGAGCUCAAAUUUGAAAUCUUAAAGGGUUUCCCUUUACGAAUUGUAGUUUAAAGAAGUGUUUUCUGUUGAGGUUUUGGUAAAAGUUCUUUGGAAUAGGACAUCAUAGAGGGUGAGAAUCCCGUAUUUGACCUUUACUUUCAACUUUGUGAUACACUUUCAAAGAGUCGGAUUGUUUGGGAAUGCAGUCCAAAAUGGGUGGUAAAUUUCAUCUAAAGCUAAAUAUUGGCGAGAGACCGAUAGCGAACAAGUACCGUGAGGGAAAGAUGAAAAGAACUUUGAAAAGAGAGUUAAACAGUACGUGAAAUUGUCAAAAGGGAAGCGUUUGACACCAGUGUUGUUUUUCUGAAAAUCAAUUAAAGAACUGUUUAUGCUAAGUUGUUUAGACUUUAUCAGCUAUCUGUUUAGUUUUGAGCUUUUCUUUAAUGCACUUUUCAGUUAACAAGUCAACAUCAAUUUCUUUUGCUGUAAAAAAGCUUGAGGAAGGUGGCUUGAGAUUCGUCUUAAGUGUUUAUAGCCUCUUGCCUAUGCAGUCGGAGAGAUUGAGGUCUGCAGCGUAGAUCCUUCGGGGCUAAAUGCAUUUGUGCUAAGUUAUAGCAUUUUAUAGACAACUUGUUGACUAUGAUUUGUCUUGUAGCUUACUCGCUUAUGUUAUUUUACCUACGCUUAGGAUGUUGAGCGCAUGUCUCUCUCU
Molecule: ribosomal RNA, 775 nt
Filed under: uncultured Neocallimastigales
Lineage: Eukaryota; Fungi; Neocallimastigomycota; Neocallimastigomycetes; Neocallimastigales
Description: partial large subunit ribosomal RNA
Rfam family: Eukaryotic large subunit ribosomal RNA
Source: RNAcentral